This 229-nucleotide ribosomal RNA is filed under the name uncultured bacterium. RNAcentral's name for it is "partial 16S ribosomal RNA". It matches the Rfam family "Bacterial small subunit ribosomal RNA", at positions 568 to 796 of the family's 1533-position model. The record is from RNAcentral.
GGUGUAGGCGGCUUGGCAAGUCGGAUGUGAAAUCCCAGGGCCCAACCCUGGAACUGCAUUCGAAACUGCCUCGCUAGAGUCCCGGAGAGGGUGGCGGAAUUCCCGGUGUAGGGGUGAAAUCCGUAGAUAUCGGGAGGAACACCAGUGGCGAAGGCGGCCACCUGGACGGUGACUGACGCUCAGACCCGAAAGCGUGGGGAGCAAACAGGAUUAGAUACCCUGGUAGUCC